This 482-nucleotide ribosomal RNA is filed under the name uncultured Massilia sp. RNAcentral describes it as "partial 16S ribosomal RNA". Lineage: Bacteria; Pseudomonadati; Pseudomonadota; Betaproteobacteria; Burkholderiales; Oxalobacteraceae. The record is from RNAcentral.
CACGUAGUUAGCCGGUGCUUAUUCUUCAGGUACCGUCAUUAGAAGCAGAUAUUAGCCACUCCCGUUUCUUCCCUGACAAAAGAGCUUUACAACCCGAAGGCCUUCUUCACUCACGCGGCAUUGCUGGAUCAGGCUUGCGCCCAUUGUCCAAAAUUCCCCACUGCUGCCUCCCGUAGGAGUCUGGACCGUGUCUCAGUUCCAGUGUGGCUGGUCGUCCUCUCAGACCAGCUACUGAUCGUCGCCUUGGUGAGCCUUUACCUCACCAACUAGCUAAUCAGAUAUCGGCCGCUCCAGGAGCAUGAGGUCUUGCGAUCCCCCACUUUCAUCCAUAGAUCGUAUGCGGUAUUAGCGUAACUUUCGCUACGUUAUCCCCCACUCUUGGUACGUUCCGAUAUAUUACUCACCCGUUCGCCACUCGUCAGCGGAGCAAGCUCCCUGUUACCGUUCGACUUGCAUGUGUAAAGCAUGCCGCCAGCGUUCAA